Molecule: ribosomal RNA, 168 nt
Filed under: Opostomias mitsuii
Lineage: Eukaryota; Metazoa; Chordata; Actinopteri; Stomiiformes; Stomiidae
Description: partial 12S rRNA
Source: RNAcentral
CACCGCGGUUAUACGAGAGGCCCAAGUUGACAGACACCGGCGUAAAGAGUGGUCAAGGAUAAAAGCAACUAAAGCCGAACAUCCCCCUAGCUGUUAUACGCACUCGGAGGAAUGAAGCCCCACCACGAAAGUGGCUUUACCUCACCUGAACCCACGAUAGCUAAGAAA